This 139-nucleotide ribosomal RNA is filed under the name Aneides aeneus. Its description in RNAcentral is "partial large subunit ribosomal RNA". The record is from RNAcentral. Lineage: Eukaryota; Metazoa; Chordata; Amphibia; Caudata; Plethodontidae.
GAAGACUUUGAAGUAGAAGCCAAAAACCUAACGAGCCUGGAUAUAGCUGGUUACUUGAGAAUGAAUUUAAGUUCAACUAAGAACAUAAUAUCAAAUAAAAGAAGUUCUUAUUAUAAUUAAUUAAGGUACAGCUUAAUUA